This 258-nucleotide ribosomal RNA is filed under the name uncultured bacterium. RNAcentral describes it as "partial 16S ribosomal RNA". It matches the Rfam family "Bacterial small subunit ribosomal RNA", at positions 334 to 589 of the family's 1533-position model. The record is from RNAcentral.
UUUUCCUACGGGGCGCAGCAGUGAGGAAUAUUGGUCAAUGGGCGUAAGCCUGAACCAGCCAAGUCGCGUGAGGGAUGAAGGUUCUAUGGAUCGUAAACCUCUUUUAUAGGGGAAUAAAGUGUGGGACGUGUCCUGUUUUGUAUGUACCUUAUGAAUAAGGAUCGGCUAACUCCGUGCCAGCAGCCGCGGUAAUACGGAGGAUCCGAGCGUUAUCCGGAUUUAUUGGGUUUAAAGGGUGCGUAGGCGGCCUUUUAAGUC